GCGGGGGUAGCUCAGUGGUAGAGCGUCCGUCUUCCAGGCGGAGUGUCGGCAGUUCGAUUCUGUCCCCCCGCU
Molecule: transfer RNA, 72 nt
Filed under: Acidobacteriaceae bacterium
Lineage: Bacteria; Pseudomonadati; Acidobacteriota; Terriglobia; Terriglobales; Acidobacteriaceae
Description: tRNA-Gly
Rfam family: tRNA
About the family: Transfer RNA (tRNA) molecules are approximately 80 nucleotides in length. Their secondary structure includes four short double-helical elements and three loops (D, anti-codon, and T loops). Further hydrogen bonds mediate the characteristic L-shaped molecular structure. tRNAs have two regions of fundamental functional importance: the anti-codon, which is responsible for specific mRNA codon recognition, and the 3' end, to which the tRNAs corresponding amino acid is attached (by aminoacyl-tRNA synthetases). tRNAs cope with the degeneracy of the genetic code in two manners: having more than one tRNA (with a specific anti-codon) for a particular amino acid; and 'wobble' base-pairing, i.e. permitting non-standard base-pairing at the 3rd anti-codon position.
Source: RNAcentral